UUGACUUGUUGUUAACUUCAACUGUCUCCAUAUCACCAAUGUUCACCACUUGACCAAUCAAAUCUGUAAAUUUUGUACAACAUAAUAGAAACCAUUAGAGGAAGUCAAUGUUUUUUUUAACCAUAGAUAUUUUAAGAAUAUAAGAGGAAAUCAUAAAUAGUUACCAAUCAACAUGUUAGUGUUAAGCUGGAUUCUCCUGUGUUGGCUGUAUACUGGCGCCAAUUAUGAAGGACUUUGACCUGGAUUCUCCAUGCAGUCUUAGUCUUGUAUGGACAAUGUCUCUGAGGAAACCAAAAGAAGCCGCCAUUGUUUUAGAAAAUUAGGCCUGAAGUAGAAGGAAGUUAAGAGGUCUUAUACUUUCUAUAUUUUCGGCAAAAGAAGCUGUAUUAUUGUUUUUUAAAUUUUUGUUGAUUUUAAUUAUAAUGGCAUGAUUGUAAAUAGUUCUGAACUUGAAGCCUUCUUUGCUAAAAUUGCUGUGAAAAUGUUAAUAUAGAUUUUAAAUUUGCUU
Non-coding RNA from Camelina sativa (false flax), 508 nucleotides. NCBI's taxonomy places the organism in Eukaryota, Viridiplantae, Streptophyta, Magnoliopsida, Brassicales, Brassicaceae. The record is from RefSeq and is a predicted model, not a curated record.